UCCAAAAAUAGUUAAAUCUAA
RNAcentral lists this non-coding RNA (21 nucleotides) under Caenorhabditis elegans. The record is from RNAcentral. Lineage: Eukaryota; Metazoa; Nematoda; Chromadorea; Rhabditida; Rhabditidae.